CGCGCAGGCGGUCCUUUAAGUCUGAUGUGAAAGCCCACGGUUCAACCGUGGAGGGUCAUUGGAAACUGGGGGACUUGAGUGCAGAAGAGGAAAGCGGAAUUCCACGUGUAGCGGUGAAAUGCGUAGAGAUGUGGAGGAACACCAGUGGCGAAGGCGGCUUUCUGGUCUGUAACUGACGCUGAGGCGCGAAAGCGUGGGGAGCAAACA
RNAcentral lists this ribosomal RNA (207 nucleotides) under uncultured bacterium. RNAcentral describes it as "partial 16S ribosomal RNA". It matches the Rfam family "Bacterial small subunit ribosomal RNA", at positions 568 to 774 of the family's 1533-position model. The record is from RNAcentral.